GGUCAAGCGACUAAGCGCACACGGUGGAUGCCUAGGCAGUUGGAGGCGAUGAAAGACGUAGGAGCCUGCGAUAAGCUCGGGGGAGCUGGCAAACAAGCUGUGAUCCCGAGAUCUCUGAAUGGGGGAACCCACCUACCUUUGGUAGGUAUCGUACAGUGAAUACAUAGCUGUACGAAGCGAACCCGGGGAACUGAAACAUCUAAGUACCCGGAGGAAAAGAAAUCAACCGAGAUUCCCUUAGUAGCGGCGAGCGAAAGGGGACCAGCCCUUAAGUGGCUUUGGUGUUAGUGGAAGGCUCUGGAAAGUGCCGCGAUACAGGGUGAUAGCCCCGUACACGAAAAUGCCUUAGUCAUGAAAACGAGUAGGACGGGACACGUGAUAUCCUGUUUGAAUAUGGGGGGACCAUCCUCCAAGGCUAAAUACUCCCAACUGACCGAUAGUGAACCAGUACCGUGAGGGAAAGGCGAAAAGAACCCCUGUGAGGGGAGUGAAAUAGAUCCUGAAACCGUGUGCGUACAAGCAGUAGGAGCAGACUUGUUCUGUGACUGCGUACCUUUUGUAUAAUGGGUCAGCGACUUAUUGUCAGUGGCAAGGUUAACCGUAUAGGGGAGCCGUAGCGAAAGCGAGUCUUAAUAGGGCGUCUAGUCGCUGGCAAUAGACCCGAAACCCGGCGAUCUAUCCAUGUGCAGGUUGAAGGUGAGGUAACACUUACUGGAGGACCGAACCCACAAAUGUUGAAAAAUUUGGGGAUGACGUGUGGAUAGGGGUGAAAGGCUAAUCAAGCCGGGAGAUAUCUGGUUCUCCCCGAAAGCUAUUUAGGUAGCGCGUCAUGUCUCACCCGCGGGGGUAGAGCACUGUUUGGGCUAGGGGGUCAUCCCGACUUACCAACCCCAUGCAAACUACGAAUACCGCGGAGUGCAAUCAUGGCAGACAGACAGCGGGUGCUAACGUCCGUUGUCAAGAGGGCAACAACCCAGACCGCCAGCUAAGGUCCCCAAUGUUAGUUAAGUGGGAAACGAUGUGGGAAGGCUUAGACAGCUAGGAGGUUGGCUUAGAAGCAGCCACCCUUUAAAGAAAGCGUAAUAGCUCACUAGUCGAGUCGGCCUGCGCGGAAGAUGUAACGGGGCUAAAACUAGCAACCGAAGCUGCGGCUGCAUACUUUGUAUGUGGGGUAGGGGAGCGUUCUGUAAGCCGUCGAAGGUGUGUUGAGAAGCAUGCUGGAGGUAUCAGAAGUGCGAAUGCUGACAUGAGUAACGAUAAGGGGAGUGAAAAACUCCCCCGCCGGAAGAUCAAGGGUUCCUGUCCAACGCUAAUCGGGACAGGGUUAGUCGGCCCCUAAGGCGAGGCGGAAACGCGUAGUCGAUGGGAAACAGGUUAAUAUUCCUGUACCUCUUUUUACUGCGAUGGGGGGACGGAGAAGGCUAGAGC
This 1428-nucleotide ribosomal RNA is filed under the name Cellvibrio fibrivorans. Its description in RNAcentral is "partial 23S ribosomal RNA". It matches the Rfam family "Bacterial large subunit ribosomal RNA", at positions 1 to 1488 of the family's 2925-position model. The record is from RNAcentral. Lineage: Bacteria; Pseudomonadati; Pseudomonadota; Gammaproteobacteria; Cellvibrionales; Cellvibrionaceae.